This is an RNA transcript of Populus euphratica (Euphrates poplar), 1901 nucleotides long. RefSeq lists it as uncharacterized. The record is from RefSeq and is a predicted model, not a curated record. Lineage: Eukaryota; Viridiplantae; Streptophyta; Magnoliopsida; Malpighiales; Salicaceae. The transcript is spliced from 3 exons.
AAACUUUUCAGAAAUUUUCAAAAUUUCAAAAUAUUUCCUUUUCUUUCGAAAAUUAAUAAUCCUUUUAAACGGCAAAAUUACACCCCAAACAGGAGCUCCCAAGUGGAGCCGCAACUUCGCUAUACUAUUUCUCCAAUCCAGCCAGCCAAGAUGUCAAAAUCCUUCCAAAUCAAAUCAAAAACCCUAAAAUUGAACCCUUUUUAUAAUCACUUCACUAUAUAAAUCACCCAAUCUUCACUGAUCAUUGAUAAAUCACUGUUAAACCUUGAGCUCAAGAAACAAGAAAUGAAAGCCUCACUAAAAUUCCGGGAAGAGCAAAACCCCCUAUUUAGAGCCAAAGUGCCACUUAACAUCUUGGGUUUACCAUUUCAAUCAGGAAUUAUAGCCGGAGAAUCCAAAGAACUUUCUUUAAAUCUCUCUACUUUCUUCCAAUCUGGACCCUCCAUCAAAAUCGCUUACCGUCCUAAUGACUCGUGGAACCCCUUCUCCCUCGUUAUCAAAACCGGAACCGGUCACUUCGGUUCUCCGGUUUCUAGCUCCAUGAUUAUGAGUGCGGAGUUCAAUCUAUUGAGUAAAGGCACUAGUAAUUUAAACCCUAGCUUUAUGCUCCACUUCAAGCCUCAAUUUGGGGAUUUUUCGAUUAAGAAGUCGCAGUCGUCGACUCACGUGAGUCAUCUGACGGGGUCGAUUCUGAACGGCAGCGCUUCGUCUGAUGAUCAUGGGUCGAUUGAGGCCGUCGAGGCUGCGACUCCGACUCCGGAUGUUGUCGACGGCGUGUUUUGUAGGAAGAGGAUUACGGUUAUGCCACCGGUGACGGCGAGUGCGGUUGCGGGACUGUUUUCUGGCGUGGAGGUUACGGCGAAGACGAGCCUUCCAGUGAGGAGCCAGGCGGUGGUGAGUUUCCGGUGGGGAGUUCGGGUUCCGGCUGAAAUUAAGAGUGGCGGUGAAUCAACGGCUGGGAUUAAUUUUAGGACGAUACCGAUCUUUGUGAUGAAUAAGAUUGGAAUUGAACACGUGGAUGGUAGAGAUGAGAGCAGUAAGAAAGAGGGGACGACAGGGAAGGUGGAGAUGGGUUCGGGGAAUGCUGAGGUGGCAGAGGCGUGUUUGGGUGUGAAAAGGCAAUUAGAGGUUUUGCAGAGUGAGAACGGGCAUUUGAGGAAAGCAGUGGAGGAAUUGAGUAAAGAAAUUGGCGGAGGGAAAUUAUCAGUUGGGGAUUUGGAUUCUGGAAAAUCCGAGAGAAAUGGAAUUAAAAGCCCCGAGUAGAAUGGAGGAGAAACCAUGAGAGGAAGAAAUCAAUGGAAGGAGAUUGAAGAAGGCAUGCGAGGGAACAGCUACUAGUGGACCUCCAAUUGCUGGUUCUGCUGUUGAAAAGCUGGAGGAAAUUAUUGGUUAUGUAAGCAUAGGCCCUUUGAAAUGGAAGGACCUAAUUAUGAUGCUCAGUUGGUGGAUUUAAUUCUGGGUUUCCUUGCAUCAUUGAAGGGAUCAACAGCCUAACCAACCAAAACAUUUGCACCACUAACUUGUAGAAUCAGCAGAAACAUAACUAAGUCAAGGUAAGGAUUGGCGCAUUUAGGUUUGAUUCCAGAAGAAGAAUUUGGGAUAUAGCAUUGAUCAAGGAAAAGCGAAGAAACCGAAACAGUUAGUUAAGAGUCCUUGUAUCAUCACGAACAAGUUUUCACACUUUAGCAUGUCAUCCACGGUAUGCUGUGGAAAAACUCAAUAGUUUUUUUCUUUUCUUUUCUGGAAUGAGUGUAUGUAUCAACUUUCCGAGAUAUCUCCUGUCUGAUUGUUAGGGUUUAUGAAGUAAGUUUUUCUAGGCAUCAUUGUUUGGUUUAGUCAUGUGAAGCGUUGGUGAUAUUUGUUAAAUGCGUCAGCAUGUAUUUGGACUACAGAAAUAAAAG